UGGUCUAGUGCGUGGAGAAGCUCCCGGG
This 28-nucleotide non-coding RNA is filed under the name Homo sapiens (human). Lineage: Eukaryota; Metazoa; Chordata; Mammalia; Primates; Hominidae. The record is from RNAcentral.